Molecule: ribosomal RNA, 1898 nt
Filed under: Melanogrammus aeglefinus (haddock)
Lineage: Eukaryota; Metazoa; Chordata; Actinopteri; Gadiformes; Gadidae
Description: SSU rRNA
Rfam family: Eukaryotic small subunit ribosomal RNA
Source: RNAcentral
CCUGGUUGACUGCAUGCCAGUAGCAUAUGCUGGUCUCAAGUUUAAGCCUAGCAUGAUAUUAAGUCCACACGGCUGGAAAAGUGAAACUGCGAAUGGCUCAUUAACCAUCAGUUAUGGUUUCCUUUGAUCGUCACCGCUACUUGGCAUAACUUGUGCAAUUAUAGAGCUGACAUACAUGCAAACGAGCGUGACUCCGGGGAUGCGUGCAUUUAUCAGACUAAACUCCGCGGCGGGGCAGUCGCCGCGUUGGCGGCCCCCGGCCUGUUUGGUGACUCUAGAUAAACCUGGGGCCGAUUCGCUCGCCUCGCGGCGGCGGACUCAUUCGAAUGUCUGGCACUAUCACACUUUCGAUGGUACUCUAGUGGCCUCACCAUUGGUGACACGGGUAACGGGGGAAUCAGGGUUCGAUUCGGAGAGGGGCCUGAGAACAUGGCUUACCACACUCCAGGAAUGCAGCAGGCGCGCAAAUUACCACUUCACGGACUCUGGAGGUGUGACGAAAAAUUAACAAUACAGGACUUCUUGUCGAGGCCUGUUAAUUGGAUGAAGUGUUACUCUUAAAUCCUAUUGGCCAGUACCAAUUGGAGGCAAGUCUGGUGCCAGCAGCCGCCGGGUAAUUCCAGUCAUAGCGAUCUAAGUGUGCAGUUAAAAAGCUCGUAGUUGGAUAUCUGGGGCCGGCUGACGGUCCGAAGAAAGGCGUGCACCGACUGGUCCGGCCCCUGCCUCGGCGCCCCCUCGAUGCUCUUUGGUUGAUGUCUUGCGGGGUUCGAAGCGUUUACUUUGAAAAAAUUUAGAGGUGUUCAAAGCAGGGCCCAGUUUGCACAACGAAUACUGCAGCUAGAAAUAAUGGAAUAGAGACUCCGGUUCUAAUUUUGUGGGUUUUCUCAAUGGACUGGGGCCUAUGAUUAAGAGGGACGGCCGGGGCGCAUUCGUAUUGCGCACGCUAGAGGUGAAAAUUCUUUGGACCGGCGCAAAGACGGGACGAAAACGAAAGCAUUUGCCAAGAAUGUUUUCAUUAAUCAAGAACGAAAAGUCGGAGGUCGGAUGCUUCGAGACCGAUCAGAUACCGUGUAGUUUCCGACCCAUAAACGAUGCGACUAGCGAUCCGGCGGCGUUAUUCCAUGACCCGCCGGGGAGCUACCCGGGAACCAAAAGUCUUUGGGUUCGGGGGGAGUAUGGUGCAAGCUGAAACUUAAAGGAAUUGACGGAAAGGGCACCACCAGGAGUGGAAGCCUGCGGCUUGUAAGUUUGACUCAACACGGAACCUCACCCGGCCCGGACACGGAAAGGAUUGACAGAUUGGAUUAGCUCUUUCUCGAUACUGUGGGUGGUGGUGCAUGGGCCGUUUCGUAGUUGUGUUGAGGCGAUUUGUCUGGUUGUUUAUUCCGACAACGAAACGAGACUCUGGCAGGCUAAAAUAGUCUACGCGGCCCGUCGGUGCGGUCGUGGUCCAGAACUUCUUAGAGGGACCAAGUGGCGUACAGCCACACGAAGAUUGAGCAAUAACAGGGUUGUGAUGCCCUUAGAUGUCCUCGGGUCUGCAACGCGCGCCACACUGAGCGGAAUCAGCGUGUUGCCUGCCCUUCGCCGACAGGCGUCGUUGGUAACCCGCUGACUGACCCGCUCGUGAUGGGGAUUGGGGAUUGCGAACUAUUUCCCAUGAACGAGGAAUUCCCAGUAAGCACGGGUCACAAGCUCGUGUUGAUUGUAAGUCCCUGGCCCUUUGUUACAACACCGCCGUCGCGGUACUACCGAUUGGAUGGCUUAGUGAGGUCUCGGAUCGGCCCCGCCGGUAGUCUUCCGGCUCUGGCGCGCGUGGCCGAGAAGACGAUCAAACUUGACUAUCUAGAGGAAGUAAAAGUCUCGUACAAGGUUUUCCGUAGGUGAACCUGCGGAAG